GACGAACGCUGGCGGCGUGCUUAACACAUGCAAGUCGAACGGAAAUUCCCUGCUUUUGUUUUUUUCUCGAUUGGCUAACUUGUGUUUAACACGUGUGUAACCUGCCCUUUACUUUGUUAUAACUUCUGGUAACUUGGUCUCAUACCCUAUAUUAUCUCCUGCUGCAUUUUGUUGUUUGUAUAGUUUCGGCGGUUGGGGAUUGACUCGCGGCUUCUCAGCUUGUUUGUGGGGUAGUGGCUUACCAAGGGUUUGACGGGUAUCCGGCCUGAGAGGGUGACCGGCGACAUUGGGACUGAGAGACGGACCAGAAUGCUACGGGAGGCAGUAGUGGGGAAUAUUGCAGAAGGGGAGGAAGCCUGAUGAAGAAAAGCGGCGAGCGGGAUGACGGCAUGCGGGGUGUAAAAAGAUUUAGAAUGUGAAGAAGAGUGAGUGACGGUAAUGGGUAAAGAAGCACCGGCUAACUACGUG
RNAcentral lists this ribosomal RNA (468 nucleotides) under uncultured bacterium. RNAcentral describes it as "partial 16S ribosomal RNA". It matches the Rfam family "Bacterial small subunit ribosomal RNA", at positions 28 to 507 of the family's 1533-position model. The record is from RNAcentral.